AGCAGUAGCCGCGGUAAUACGAGGGGGGCGAGCGUUAAUCGGAAUUACUGGGCGUAAAGCGUACGCAGGCGGUUUGUUAAGUCAGAUGUGAAAUCCCCGAGCUUAACUCGGGAACUGCAUUUGAAACUGGCAGGCUAGAGUCUCGUAGAGGGGGGUAGAAUUCCAGGUGUAGCGGUGAAAUGCGUAGAGAUCUGGAGGAAUACCGGUGGCGAAGGCGGCCCCCUGGACGAAGACUGACGCUCAGGUACGAAAGCGUGGGGAGCAAACAGGAUUAGAUACCCCUGUAGUCCCUGUCUCUUAUAC
Molecule: ribosomal RNA, 303 nt
Filed under: uncultured bacterium
Lineage: Bacteria
Description: partial 16S ribosomal RNA
Rfam family: Bacterial small subunit ribosomal RNA
Source: RNAcentral